GAGAAAACAUGGAACUGCACAAACUCGCACAGAAUUAACCUGUAUUUCCCCAAAGUGAUACUAAACGUCCCUAGAGGAGUUGCUAACUCUUCUUUGCACGUCCGCCUUUCCUUUGCUCCCAGAUUCGCUCCCAGCACAGACGAGCCGGAGGACGCCCAGCGCUGCCCCUCAGCGCUCCCGACGUGCGGGCGCUUCCCCCGCACCUCCCCGCGCAACCAUCGCGGCGCGGCCGCCAGGAACACGCGGCCGGCCGGGAAUCCCGGGAUGGAGCCGGGAGAGAGGAAAUGGAGACCCCGGUCCGCAGCGGGAGCCGCGCCGGCCUCAGGGCUCGGCGGAGGGAGGGGGGAGCGCGGCAGGGAAGGCGACCCUCCCCUCAGAGGGGCCUCCGGACACGCGGCCCUGCCCGAGGUGGCGGCGGCGCCCUGACCCUCCUUCCUCCGCCGCUCCAGCCAGGCCCCAGCCGGGGGGGAAGAGGAGCUCCCGGGGCUCCCCACGGACACGGACCGGGAAAGCCGCACGGGGGGCAGCGGAGGAGGGAAAGAAACCCGGGCGAAAGCUCACCGGGUCCGGCGGAGGGGGCUCCCGGCCCCCGCCUGAGCUCUGCCUGCGGAGUGACAGAAUCAGCCAGGUUGGAAAAGUCCUCGGAGAUCACCGAGUCCAGCCUGUGACCGGGCAUCACCACGUCAAUCGGAGCAGAGCACGAGUGCCGAGCCUUUAUCCUUAAACACCUCCAGGGAUGGUGACUCCACCACCACCCUGGGCAGUCCAUUCCGAUGUUUAAUCACCCUUGCUGUGAAGAAACUCCUCCUAAUGUCCAGCCUAAACCUCCCCUGGUGCAGUUUAAGACUAUGUUCUGUCAUCCUGUGGCUUUCAGUGAGACCUUGGAAAAUUACUUUGUGCCUCUAGCACUCUCUCCACUACCUCUCCCUGUUACAUGUUUGAAAGAUAUCCUGUAAUUAAAUCAGUAUUACACAUA
Molecule: long non-coding RNA, 976 nt
Organism: Passer domesticus (house sparrow)
Lineage: Eukaryota; Metazoa; Chordata; Aves; Passeriformes; Passeridae
Exons: 2
Source: RefSeq, a predicted model, not a curated record